GAUGAACGCUGGCGGCGUGCCUAAUACAUGCAAGUCGAGCGAACGGACGAGAAGCUUGCUUCUCUGAUGUUAGCGGCGGAUGGGUGAGUAACACGUGGAUAACCUACCUAUAAGACUGGGAUAACUUCGGGAAACCGGAGCUAAUACCGGAUGAUAUUUUGAACCGCAUGGUUCAAAAGUGAAAGCCGGUCUUGCUGUCACUUAUAGAUGGAUCCGCGCUGCAUUAGCUAGUUGGUAAGGUAACGGCUUACCAAGGCAACGAUGCAUAGCCGACCUGAGAGGGUGAUCGGCCACACUGGAACUGAGACACGGUCCAGACUCCUACGGGAGGCAGCAGUAGGGGAUCUUCCGCAAUGGGCGAAAGCCUGACGGAGCAACGCCGCGUGAGUGAUGAAGGUCUUCGGAUCGUAAAACACUGUUAUUAGGGAAGAACAUAUGUGUAAGUAACUGUGCACAUCUUGACGGUACCUAAUCAGAAAGCCACGGCUAACUACGUG
RNAcentral lists this ribosomal RNA (497 nucleotides) under uncultured bacterium. RNAcentral's name for it is "partial 16S ribosomal RNA". It matches the Rfam family "Bacterial small subunit ribosomal RNA", at positions 28 to 507 of the family's 1533-position model. The record is from RNAcentral.